GAUGAACGCUGGCGGCGUGCCUAAUACAUGCAAGUCGAGCGAACGGACGCGAAGCUUGCUUCUCUGAUGUUAGCGGCGGACGGGUGAGUAACACGUGGUUAACCCACCUAUAAGACUGGGAUAACUUCGGGAAACCGUAGCUAAUACCGGAUAAUAUUUUGAACCGCAUGGUUCAAAAGUGAAAGCCGGUCUUGCUGACACUUAUAGAUGGAUCCGCGCUGCAUUAGCUAGUUGGUAAGGUAACGGCUUACCAAGGCAACGAUGCAUAGCCGACCUGCGAGGGGGAUCGGCCACACUGGAGGUGGGACGCGGUACAGGCUCCGACGGGAGGCACCAGUAGGGAAGGUACCGCACUGGGCGGAAGCCUGACGGAGCAGCGCAGCGUUGGUGAUGAAGGUCUUCGUAUCGGAAAACGCUGUUAGUGGUGAAGAACAUAUGUGUAAGUGACGGUGCACAUCGUGACGGUACCUAGUCAGAAAGCCACGGCUAACUACGUG
This 497-nucleotide ribosomal RNA is filed under the name uncultured bacterium. RNAcentral describes it as "partial 16S ribosomal RNA". It matches the Rfam family "Bacterial small subunit ribosomal RNA", at positions 28 to 507 of the family's 1533-position model. The record is from RNAcentral.